UUCUUAUUGGCUAAUCUGGAGCAAACCUGCAUAUCCAUUGGCUGAAAGCUCCGUCUAUUUUAGGGUGACUGAGAGCGUCUCUUCCUUCUGUGUUGCCUGGAAACGGACUGUUCGCCUAGUAACAUCUGAUCACGUUUCCCAUUGGUCACCGUUUCCGGAAGCCCGCUCUCCCGUUUCCGGAAUCCCCGCAGGCGCUGGGUCUGCAGAUGGCGUCCAGGUACACAGUGGCGAGUGUGAUUCCGCAGUCUUGGGCUGUUUGGCCAAGCGCCCGCCGGACAUGGUACGCCGAAGGGUCAUCGGCGUGGAGUCCUCGCUUUCAGCGUCCGCGGCUGGGAAAUCGGCCAUCGCUACGGCGGGAACUGGGACUCGGGCUGCGUCCCGGCCCUUCCACAUCGGUCCACCGCACUCGUGGGCGCCCGCAUUGGUGCUGACAUAAUUUCCUGACCUCUGACCCGUAUUGUCUCGCGAUUAAAGAGCUGCGCCUGGAUCCCUCAGCAGUGAGGAGACCUGAAGACCAGAGGAAACACAGCAAGUAGGCCCUUUAAACCACUCACCUGUGUUGUCUUCCAAUUUAUUCUGUUUUAUUUUGUUUCCAUCAUUUUAAGGGGUUAAAAUCAUCUUGUUCAGACCUCAGCAUAUAAAAUGACCCAUCUGUAGACCUCAGGCUCCAACCAUACCCCAAGAGUUGUCUGGUUUUGUUUAAAUUACUGCCAGGUUUCAACUGCAGAUAUCCCUGGAAGGAAUAUUCCAGAUUCCCUGAGUAGUUUCCAGGUUAAAGUCUUAUAGGCUUCUUCUGUUUUGAGGAGGAGUUCCUGUCAGAGAAAAG
Molecule: long non-coding RNA, 826 nt
Filed under: Homo sapiens (human)
Lineage: Eukaryota; Metazoa; Chordata; Mammalia; Primates; Hominidae
Description: HSALNT0259295
Source: RNAcentral